GCGGACGUGGCGGAACGGUAGACGCUGGGGACUUAAAAUCCUCUUCCCCAAAGGGAGUGCGGGUUCAAAUCCCGCCGUCCGCACCA
RNAcentral lists this transfer RNA (86 nucleotides) under Sphingomonas sp. Its description in RNAcentral is "tRNA-Leu". It matches the Rfam family "tRNA". Rfam says of the family: Transfer RNA (tRNA) molecules are approximately 80 nucleotides in length. The record is from RNAcentral. Lineage: Bacteria; Pseudomonadati; Pseudomonadota; Alphaproteobacteria; Sphingomonadales; Sphingomonadaceae.